CAAUAGCGUAUAUUAAAGUUGUUGCGGUAAAAAAGCUCGUAGUUGGAUUUCUACCGAAGAUAGCCGGUCGGGUCUUCGACCUUGUAUCUGGUUUUGUCUUUGGUAUCCUCAUAGGGAACGUUUCUGCGCUUUAUUGCGUGGUGCGGUAUCUAUGACUUUUACUUUGAGGAAAUUAGAGUGUUCACGGCAGGCAAACGCCUUGAAUAUAUUAGCAUGGAAUAAUAACAUAGGAUCUUCGUCCUAUUUUGUUGGUUUCUAGGGCUAAGAUAAUGAUUAAUAGGGAUAAUUGGGGGCAUCUGUAUCAACGCGUCAGAGGUGGAAUUCUUGGAUUGCGUCGCGACAAACUACUGCGAAAGCAUUUGCCAAGGAUGUUUUCAUUGA
RNAcentral lists this ribosomal RNA (381 nucleotides) under uncultured eukaryote. RNAcentral's name for it is "partial 18S ribosomal RNA". It matches the Rfam family "Eukaryotic small subunit ribosomal RNA", at positions 592 to 976 of the family's 1831-position model. The record is from RNAcentral.